CUCAGGUCAUCCAUCAGUUACUUUGAAAACAGGCAGAGCUCUGCCUUGUGACAUCUGGCCAAUCUCCGGACCACUUUGAUCUUAUAAUCAGGAACCCAUCUACCACAGCAGCCACAGCCUCCAUCACAGCUAGAUGCUGUUUCGAACAACCAUUCUGCAAUAAUAACAUUUCAGAUCCUUUCUACAGGAAGCCAUAAGUAUAGUAUACCCAUGUUUGCCUUCCAAGUAACCUCAGGUUGAGGUUGCAGGCCUCAUACGGAGGGAACCCAUUUGGGGGUCUGAGAAGAAAAAAAAAAGCCUCUGGUUGAAUGCAGCAUAAUCAUAUCUGUUCACAUUCUCAUAGCCAGAGAAAAUGACCUGGUUAAAUCCAAAAUUGAAAGGAGAAAUAUAUUCACUCUACAACAAGAAGCAGGAACAGGAGAUGAUGCCUACAUCAGAACCACCACAGACACAGCCUGGUUCCAGAGGUGAUAAAAUGUGCAAAAAGAAAGAAAGCAAAUCUUGGAAUUUUU
RNAcentral lists this long non-coding RNA (512 nucleotides) under Heterocephalus glaber (naked mole-rat). Its description in RNAcentral is "lncRNA (ENSHGLG00000043559.1)". The record is from RNAcentral. Lineage: Eukaryota; Metazoa; Chordata; Mammalia; Rodentia; Bathyergidae.